UACUGUAUAGUCUAGUGGUAGGAUGACCCGCAUGAUUUGAUUUUCGACCGCGGGAGGCGGAGGUUCGAUUCCUCCUAGUAA
Non-coding RNA from Mycena capillaripes, 81 nucleotides. The record is from the annotation of a GenBank genome assembly. Lineage: Eukaryota; Fungi; Basidiomycota; Agaricomycetes; Agaricales; Mycenaceae.